CUCUAACUCUGACCACUUUGUUGUGGAAAGACAACACGAACAGCCGGGAGCAUUGCAUGGAGAUGAACUAUGGAGCUUCUCGCGGUCAGAACGAUGCCCCCUGCUGGUACAAACGUCCCUUCCUGUGUGCCAGAAAGCGCUGAUGUCCACAUUUUGGGAGAGACAACAUUGGAGAAGCUCUCUAAAGCAUAUGAGAUUGUUUUAAAUAAAGGCACCAUCUGCAAUGUUGCCCUUUGUUCAGUGGUCAUUUAUACAACAUUGGAGAAGCUCUCUAAAGCAUAUGAGAUUGUUUUAAAUAAAAGGCAUGACCUUUAAUUCUGUGGUCAUUUAUGCAAAACACCAGCUGGAUCCAACUAUUAAUCUCUGUAGAAUGAAGUAAAUAACAUCCUCGGUAAAAUAAACUUUAAACAGUUGCUAAUAACAUCUUUGGUAAAAAUAAAUGUUAAACAGUUGCUAAUAACAUCUUUGGUAAAAAUAAAUGUUAAAGAGUUGCUAAUAACAUCUUUGGUAAAACAAAUGUUAAAGAGUUGCUUUUCACUUU
Long non-coding RNA from Oncorhynchus masou masou (cherry salmon), 541 nucleotides. RefSeq lists it as uncharacterized. NCBI's taxonomy places the organism in Eukaryota, Metazoa, Chordata, Actinopteri, Salmoniformes, Salmonidae. The transcript has 2 exons. The record is from RefSeq and is a predicted model, not a curated record.